UGGGGAAUAUUGCACAAUGGGCGCAAGCCUGAUGCAGCCAUGCCGCGUGUGUGAAGAAGGCCUUCGGGUUGUAAAGCACUUUCAGCGGGGUGGAAGGCGAUAAGGUUAAUAACCUUGUCGAUUGACGUUACCCGCAGAAGAAGCACCGGCUACCUCCGUGCCAGCAGCCGCGGUAAUACGGAGGGUGCAAGCGUUAAUCGGAAUUACUGGGCGUAAAGCGCACGCAGGCGGUCUGUCAAGUCGGAUGUGAAAUCCCCGGGCUCAACCUGGGAACUGCAUUCGAAACUGGCAGGCUAGAGUCUUGUAGAGGGGGGUAGAAUUCCAGGUGUAGCGGUGAAAUGCGUAGAGAUCUGGAGGAAUACCGGGGGCGAAGGCGGCCCCCUGGACAAAGACUGACGCUCAGGUGCGAAAGCGUGGGGAGCAAACAGG
Molecule: ribosomal RNA, 429 nt
Filed under: Chloroflexota bacterium
Lineage: Bacteria; Bacillati; Chloroflexota
Description: Chloroflexi bacterium partial 16S ribosomal RNA
Rfam family: Bacterial small subunit ribosomal RNA
Source: RNAcentral